Molecule: ribosomal RNA, 800 nt
Filed under: uncultured bacterium
Lineage: Bacteria
Description: bacterial SSU rRNA
Rfam family: Bacterial small subunit ribosomal RNA
Source: RNAcentral
AGAGUUUGAUCCUGGCUCAGAGCGAACGCUGGCGGCAGGCCUAACACAUGCAAGUCGAACGAACUCUUCGGAGUUAGUGGCGGACGGGUGAGUAACACGUGGGAACGUGCCUUUAGGUUCGGAAUAACUCAGGGAAACUUGUGCUAAUACCGAAUGUGCCCUUCGGGGGAAAGAUUUAUCGCCUUUAGAGCGGCCCGCGUCUGAUUAGCUUGUUGGUGGGGUAAUGGCCCACCAAGGCUACGAUCAGUAGCUGGUCUGAGAGGAUGACCAGCCACAUUGGGACUGAGACACGGCCCAAACUCCUACGGGAGGCAGCAGUGGGGAAUCUUGCGCAAUGGGCGAAAGCCUGACGCAGCCAUGCCGCGUGUAUGAUGAAGGUCUUAGGAUUGUAAAAUACUUUCACCGGUGAAGAUAAUGACUGUAGCCGGAGAAGAAGCCCCGGCUAACUUCGUGCCAGCAGCCGCGGUAAUACGAAGGGGGCUAGCGUUGCUCGGAAUUACUGGGCGUAAAGGGAGCGUAGGCGGACAUUUAAGUCAGAGGUGAAAUCCCGGAGCUUAACUUCGGAACUGCCUUUGAUACUGGAUGUCUUGAGUGUGAGAGAGGUAUGUGGAACUCCGAGUGUAGAGGUGAAAUUCGUAGAUAUUCGGAAGAACACCAGUGGCGAAGGCGACAUACUGGCUCAUUACUGACGCUGAGGCUCGAAAGCGUGGGGAGCAAACAGGAUUAGAUACCCUGGUAGUCCACGCCGUAAACGAUGAUUGCUAGUUGUCGGGGAGUUUACUUCUCGGUGACGCAGCUAA